Molecule: ribosomal RNA, 253 nt
Filed under: uncultured bacterium
Lineage: Bacteria
Description: partial 16S ribosomal RNA
Rfam family: Bacterial small subunit ribosomal RNA
Source: RNAcentral
UACGUAGGUGGCAAGCGUUAUCCGGAUUUACUGGGUGUAAAGGGAGCGUAGGCGGUGCAGCAAGUCAGAAGUGAAAGCCCGGGGCUCAACUCCGGGACUGCUUUUGAAACUGUUGAACUAGAUUGCAGGAGAGGUAAGUGGAAUUCCUAGUGUAGCGGUGAAAUGCGUAGAUAUUAGGAGGAACACCAGUGGCGAAGGCGGCUUACUGGACUGUAAAUGACGCUGAGGCUCGAAAGCGUGGGGAGCAAACAGG